Molecule: long non-coding RNA, 6773 nt
Organism: Anopheles funestus (African malaria mosquito)
Lineage: Eukaryota; Metazoa; Arthropoda; Insecta; Diptera; Culicidae
Exons: 5
Source: RefSeq, a predicted model, not a curated record
UCGUAUUUUUCCGAGGUUUCAUUUAGCUCAUUCGUCUCUUAAGGUGGAGCGAAGUGUGUGCUGCUUCGCCAAUUAUAGUUGUGUAGGUGUGUGGUGAAGCAGAAAAGAUAAUGCUAAUGAGCAAAGGAGAAACUGUGAUCAGUAGCGAUCGGACAGCAAUACGUUUGACUAGUGAAAAAUAGGCUUGCGGUAAAGCGGCGUCCUUCCUCUGUAGAACAUUUUGCAAGACAGUUUUUGGUGCCAAAAAGUGAUGUCCUUUGCUCGAGUAUCAUAUUCGAUACAAAUAAUGUUCAUAAAAUUUGGAGAUAACAAAAAAAAACUUUCGUUACAUGUGUGGAAAGCGGCUCCCUUCCUUUGUGCAUAGAAAAAAUAUGUUGCAAGUGUUGAUUGUUUUUUGGAAGAAAAAAGUGAAAUCUUUUUUUCAAUGCGCUUUUUGGAAAAAUUCGUGUAUUAAAAAAUGUGGCCAUUGCAGGCGAGUACCACAUUUUAAAUGUGUCAAAGGUGUUUUAAAUGUGUCAAAGGAGUUUUAAAUGUGCCAAAGAAAUGUUAAAUGUGAAAGAAAAAUAUCGAUGUUUCAAAGCAAAAGAGCCGCAAAGCAGUAUUAUCGGCCGAAGUAAAUGUUUUCCUUUGGUUCAUGAAAGUCAAGUGUCUUUCGUAUAAACUAUCGUUUAGCCCGGCAUAUCACGUUAAAUUGGAAUCACAGCAUCUUCAAGACGCAGUCAUCGAAAUGCAAACAUAAUCAUUUGAGCGAAGGCACUGUAAGGACGCAAUUGACCCAGAGGAAACGGUUGACCGGAAGUUGAAUUGGACCAUGUAUGCGGGUGUGCACAAAUACGGAAAAUAAACAUUCAAACGGAAACAAACAGUCCGUGCCAAGUGUACAUCACCAUUAACAUCACUUAUUGCAUAUAGCGACACAAUACGUCGAGGUCGGUAGACUACGUGAUUAGUUAGGAAUAUUUGUCCAGUACACUAACAAAUUACAAUUAUUCCCUCCAGAGAGAUAACUUUGGCAGUAAGAAAGUAAAAAGGAAACCUAUAUACGCAGUAGCAUGAACAAAACAAAAAACGACAUUCUAUGAACGAUAGAAACUACGUCGUUAUCCACGGUAUUAGCGAUAGAAUUUGGGGGCUUUUACCUGUUGUUGUAAUUUGAUUCGAUCGCAUUUAUAUUAAUAUCGCACCGGUAAGAGUGUGAUGGCUGUAGAAGAAACUCGCCAGUAACAAAUUCAAGCACGCAACGCCGACUCAUGUAGGCGCUUAGUAGUUCGUACGCAAACACGGAGACGAAAACAUGUGUCCCAGGUAACGACGACGUUUUUAUUUUGUAUAAGUUAUCAGAGAAACAAUCCACCGCAGCCUGUAAUGUAACAAGAUAGCUUUGAUUUGCUACUAUCGGAUGGCCUAUUUGCUCACGUUUUCCUUGGAUGCCAUUACCGUACCCCCGUUUUUUAUUGGUAGUUAGUGUGUUUGGAAAAGUGGUAUUCGCGACUCUGAAGCAACAGACGUUUAGGCGAUUACGAAUAACAUUCAUAAAAUAGAAGCGAAACGAUACAGCUGAACAUGUUCGUGACAUUUGGCAAUCGUUCUCGUUUGCUAGUUAUUAAAUGAACAAACAUCUAUUAGCAAACGCUCCUAUUCAAUAUAAAUACAGGCCUACACUUUAUUCACAACUUUCAGAAUGAUGUUGCGCAAAUGGAGGAGGAAGUUAAGCUACAUAGAUCAAUUUAGGAAGUUUAUUUUUCGUUUGACUGACUUUUUUAUUAGUGAUAUGAAUUGUUGUCAAUCACGAUAGUAGUUAUUAUAAAUGAUGAUGUUUUAAAAACUAAUCAUGUUGUAGCAGAAAAAUAGCAGGAUUAUAGUACACUACAAGCUACAUAAAAGUGGAAAAACUUAAAUGACAUCGAUGAGCAAUUGUACUAGUUGUUACAUAUCAGUGCCCAUUGGUCUACUUACACAAAAUUGAUUAUCAAGCUACGGGUAAAUUCAAGUCAAUGCAAAGCAGAAUUGCCCGGUCAAGCCCGAGAUUGUUACUAAAGUAUAAAUAAGACAUUAAUGCUGUUUGUCUUGUGUGGAUAUCUAAUUUGUGGAAAAAUUGUUUAAAAAACGUUUUACAAUUUCUGUAAUAAAACAAUCUAACAGUGAUAACAACAAACAACAAACAGUUGCUUGACAAAAACAAACAAAUAAAAUCUUUCAAAGUGGUUCAUCUCGUGCACAAAACGUGAGCGACAGAUACGCUGCACUUUCGAGCAUGCAAAAUAAAAAGGAUUCGUUGCCGGAAAGAGUGAAAAGUAGAAAGCAGCUUAAACUGUCAAAAGACUUUUAUAUUUCUUUAAACAACUGUCUCAACAACAACAAAAAUGAAGUGUUCGUCAUUUGUUGACAUAAACCUUUUCCGAAAUGAAAAGAUGUAGUGAAUGGAAAAAAUAAAUGUCAAACUUUCCAAAUAUCCAAAUUCUAAUAUGAAUUGCGUUCAAGGGGUUUAAGGGUGUUAUUACACUAGCUGAAGACAUUUUUGUGCUAGAUACUGAUAUUGGCAGAUAUAAUUCAAACCCCAUAGUAUGAAACUCGACAAUUGGUACAUUCGACACAAUUCACCACCAAAAUGGCGAGAUGUAAAAAAAGAUAAUACAUGAGCAAAUAAAAACAUUUACUUCAGAUUUUUACGAAUACUGUGUUUACGAAUAUUGUACAGCAUUACAUAUGAAGGAAAUGAUAAGGUAAUAAUCGUGAUGAAGAAAGCACUUCGCUAGGGUGCCCUGUGGUGAGCAUAAUUUAUAUCUAACAGUAGUUAGCGAACGAAAUCGUCGUUUUCAUUCUGAGGUCUCUGGUCAUUUCAAGCCCGGUUUGAGUACAACAAGACAAUCUAUUCAGUCCUUAGGGUGUAGAAAACAGCCUACAAAAAACCCGACUGAACAAAUGAAGAAUGAAACGCACUAAAUAGGAUAUAGCAAACCUUCUCCAGGAAUAUGUUGUCGUUCGCUUGUAUACGGUCUCGUAGCUUACGGACAUGGUGACUCUAUUUUACCGUUAAAGGUAAUUACACCAAUGAUAAGUAUAGCUCGAAUGCGAAAAUUUAUGCAAAACAUAAACCAAUUACAAUAUAAUGAUUAUAUUUACUAUACAAGAAUAUGGAACUUAUGAUAAAAGAUAUCGCAGCACCAGUGUAUUUUAUGGAAACAUUUAACCACUGACACAUACAUAUGAAAUAUGAAAAGUAUGCUGCAGUCGUUUGAAGAGGUGUGUGUGGACUGCUAAUGAUCCACUAUGCUACAUAGAUAUCACGAGGAGAAUGAUACAGGGGAAAUUAAUUUCAAAUGAAAUACCUUUAUGUUUGUGUGUCAUGCGCAUUUUCACUUGCGGCUUUCUUUUCAAAACGAUGCAUUUUUUUAUAUUUUGUUUAAGUUGUCAGAAAUUACAAGAAACAAACUUUUAUUUGAUAUUAACUUAAUUUUUUUUAGUACCGCCAUUCUUACCGCCUAAGGAUUUAUUUUUUAGUUUUUGGAGUUUGGAUGAUGUUUCGAAUUUGUUUGAAGCUUUAGUAAUCUUUGAAUUUUAUUAAGAACACAGUGAACUUAUAUCCCUUACGCAUAUAUUGUUUUCAUAAUCAUUUUGCACUUAAUCGAUACACAGUCCGUAGCAUAACUAUUAGACACCUUGAUUAUUGGGAACAAUAGAAAAAAUUGAAGAGAUAAAUAAAAGUGAUGUUCUACAACAUUGUCUAUUAGGAGAAAAAAAAAUUAUUAGACCGUUUAAAAAACAUCAAAAAUCAAAAUACGUGAUAUUUCGCAUUGUAACCCUUUUAAGUGCAUGCAAGAUCUCUCAUAACAUAAAAUUAAUUUGUCAGAAAAAUUAAUUACAUGAUUAAAGAUGCGUUGAAACUACUUGUGAUUUUUAAUGAUUUUUAAAAUGAGUAUAACUAUCGAAAAACAAAAAAGGUAGGUGUAUUUUAGUUAUGUUAUAUACAGCAUUUUUCCAAUAUACAAAAUGUAUUUUUGUAUCAUCUACAACCUUGUAGAAUAUCACUUUUAUCCAUUUCUUAAUCUUUUUCAUAUAUUCUCAAAAAACUAGGCGUUUUAUAGUUAUGCUGCGGUCUGUAUAUUGAGUACAUGAUUGAUAAAAACCUCACAUCUUACAUGUUUUACGAUAGUCUCAAGAAUCAAAAUCGUCAGCUCCACAAUAUCCACAAAAACUUCCUAUUCAUUAUAAACUUGCACAAAUCAUUAUCAGUUUCGGAGUAGAAAAUGCGAAGAAAAAUUAAUUAUUCAUUCAGACGAUGUGCGUAGUUGCCUCGGGACGAGGUAGCUAGGAAUAAAAAUUUGCAUUUUAUGCAUACGCUUGAAGAUGGGAUUCUUGAUUGGAGAGAGAUAUUCAAAUUUGUAACCACUAGGGGCCACCACUCGAGCACCUUUGAUACCAAGGCAGUUGAAUUUGAAAAUCGAUAACGAUAAUUGAGUAUUUUGUGGUGAUGCAAUCGAUUCAACAUGAAGGUAGUUCAUGUUUUCUUACUUAAAAUCCCAGAAUGUAUAUUUUAUGAAGUAAGUAAGUUAGUGUUAACGAAUUUACGAUGAAAAAGAUUAGCACAAAUCAAAUAACCUUUACUUGUUAUUUGGUUGUAUUUAGACAUUUUUGUUAUUAUAGUAUCUGGCCUUAAAUAAUACGCUAAAAUUGGUCUAAUUUAAUGCACAGUCUGUUAUUUUUGUGUCUGCAUUUUCCGUAACUGUCAUUAAUCUUUUAGAACAUACAAAAUAUAAAAAAAUGAAACAGAUUGAAAAGCCAGACCGUUUUGUGGUUGCUGAAGGUAAGGCGUUUUAAUUUUCUGCAAGAUUAGAUAUGCAAACUGCUGAUGAACAAUAUUGUCGCAUAAUCAGUCCAGUGGCUAACAGCUAUGUAUGUUUUUUAUAUAUAUAAUAGCAUAAUUAUAGUCAUACGGCCUGCCCGUCCUAAGUGAAAUAAAAAAUAGCAUAAUUUGAUAUGAAACAUACAAUCAAAAGGCGGUACGACCUAAAUAAAAAAAUGAAUUGCUUAACAUCAUUGAUGCAAGUGAAAUUGCCUGACUGAUGAUAUGUUGCUUAUAAAUGUAAUUCAACCUACAAUUCACACAAUACAUUGUAGAUUUCAUGAAUGGUAAACCAACUCGCAAGAAAGAUGACAGACGACGAAUACUCUUUAACACGUACAAACUCGAGUAAUAAGAACAAUUAAAUCUAAAGGAACCUGCUAUAUGUCGAUUGUUUAUAGCUAUCCAAAAGCUAUAUGCAUAUGAGAGAAAAAGUUUUUACUGUAGUAAAAGUUUUGCAGAAUAAUUCAGACAACAUGAGCAUCACAUUGAUCAUAAAAAAUGAGCAUCAAAUACAAACAGUAAUGAACGAAUUAAUUCAAUCGCAAAGUGCUAUUAAAUAUCAAAUAACAAUUAAAAUUUAGAACGUCAUUUCAAAUAUAUCGUUUGGUGAUGAUUUUAAACAUUUUAACCAACCUGAUAUCAGAAGAAGUGUUCACCACGGUUGAACUGCUGUCAAUUUUCGGCGCACGGUUAAUCCACCCACCGGUUAAUCCACCACCGGAUGGAUAAUCGACAGACGACUGUAUUUGGUAAAAUUUUCGAAUGAAAUAACUCUUCUUUUUGUUUUGGUAGGGAUGGGGUUUUUUUAUGUUCACUUCGCGUCUAUCUGUAUUGGUCCAUCCAUCCAGCAACAUAAAUAACGAUAAGAUAUACAGAUGAGAAAGUUCCUUUUUUGGAACGGAACGGAGCGAACCUUGUAGGUUCACUGAACCUACUUCAACGGGAAAAUUAAACAAUUUUUUUAUUAAUAACUGAGGCUAUAUUGCUAACAAUUCCAACAAUUAUUUCUUCCUUUUCAUUCUAGAAAUAAUAUAUUAGAAUAAUUCGUGUGUAGUGUUUUUAAAAGUGAUAGUGGUUGUGUCCAUCGUGCAGUCUUCUCACAACAAUAUCGGAUCUCUUGUACAUACAUUUCUCAAGAAACAGCUUCCCCAUAUAUAUAUAUUCCAGAAAAGAAUUGAACAAUAGUUUCCACUUGCUUUGCUAAUUUCAGCAUUGCUUUCGUUCCAAUAUAAACGGCUGAACAGUUCUGAACAAGCAAAAAGCACUAAGAGUGCAUGUUGCUACCUUCUCAUGCACAGAAAAUGUAGGUGCAAAAACCCUACUUUGUGUUUUUAUUUGAUCCUGAGUACGUUCGAACAACUCAAGGAACGGAACGAACCUAGUAGAUUCGGAACGAAAUUCUCAUCACUAAUAUGAAGCAAUAGCUGUUUAAUCGAUGCCAUGGGUUAUGAAUAAAAAUACAAAUGCUGCCUUCCCUUCUCAUUUGGCAUUUCUUUCCGUACCGGAUCAAAGUAAAAACGAACCAAGUAAAAAUCCAGCAACGAGAAACGAGCUUAAUGGCAGCAUGCAUUCCGACUCGGGUUUCGGUUGAGGCAAAACGCACGAGCGUUCCGAGAAUAAGAAAUCAUUUUCAGCACAAGCUUCGGGCCUGUACACCAUGAUGUAAAGAUUUUUUUUUACAAAUACCGUGUUAGAUAGAAUGACCGUAAGAUUAUUUUAUAUUUUUGUCAGCUACAUUCAGCUUUCCCUGAUUGACAAAGAACUUACAAGCGAAGAUGAGAAAACGAAAAUAUUGCUUAAUGUUUGGUGAAAAAUAAUUACAAUUUAUUAAGGACGAUAAAAAAUAGAUCCACGGGAAAAUAAUGUUAAAUAGUUUACUCUAAAGCAGGCGAGAAAGGACAGAAGGUAUUGGUUUCACGCGGGAAUG